ACGGCAACUGGCAAGGACGCCGUUGCGCUCGGUUCGAAUUCGAAGGCGACGGGCGACAACUCGGUUGCGCUCGGUGCGAACUCGGUUGCGGAUC
Molecule: transfer RNA, 94 nt
Filed under: Caballeronia terrestris
Lineage: Bacteria; Pseudomonadati; Pseudomonadota; Betaproteobacteria; Burkholderiales; Burkholderiaceae
Description: tRNA-Ser
Source: RNAcentral